GAUGAAGAACGUAGUGAAAUGCGAUACGUAAUGUGAAUUGCAGAAUUCAGUGAAUCAUCGAAUCUUUGAACGCAUAUUGCGCUCUCUGGUAUUCCGGAGAGCAUGCUUGUUUGAGUAUCAGUAAACACCUCAACUCCCUUUUCUUUUUUGAAAUUGGAGCUGGACUUGAGUGAUCCCAACGCUUUCUUCCAAGAAAGUGGCGGGUUGCUUGAAAUGCAGGUGUAGCUGAACUUUUCUCUGAGCUAUAAGCAUAUCUAUUUAGUCUGCCUAAAAAACAGAUUAUUACCUUUGCUGCAGCUAACAUAAAGGAGACUAGUUCUUGUGCUGACUGAUGCAGGAUUCACAGAGACAGCUUCGGCUGACUUUGUAAACUCGAUCUCAAAUCAAGUAAGACUACCCGCUGAACUUAAGCAUAUCAAUAAGCGGAGGA
Molecule: unclassified non-coding RNA, 430 nt
Filed under: soil metagenome
Description: partial contains 5.8S ribosomal RNA, internal transcribed spacer 2, and large subunit ribosomal RNA
Rfam family: 5.8S ribosomal RNA (bases 1-120)
Source: RNAcentral